RNAcentral lists this transfer RNA (73 nucleotides) under Aphanotorulus emarginatus. RNAcentral's name for it is "tRNA-Thr". It matches the Rfam family "tRNA". Rfam says of the family: Transfer RNA (tRNA) molecules are approximately 80 nucleotides in length. Their secondary structure includes four short double-helical elements and three loops (D, anti-codon, and T loops). The record is from RNAcentral. Lineage: Eukaryota; Metazoa; Chordata; Actinopteri; Siluriformes; Loricariidae.
GCCCUAGUAGCUUAAUUUAUAAAGCGCCGGUCUUGUAAUCCGGAGACCGAAGGUUAAAAUCCAUCCUAGUGCC